Molecule: long non-coding RNA, 205 nt
Filed under: Zea mays
Lineage: Eukaryota; Viridiplantae; Streptophyta; Magnoliopsida; Poales; Poaceae
Description: long non-coding RNA NONZMAT000603
Source: RNAcentral
AGGUAAUUAGCAGAGAAUGAAGGCGAGAAGGGGGAUCAAGACGGAUGUGUGACUCCUUGCGUCAACUGCAUCAUGUGGUCGGUGUCGGUGAAGCAGCUUUGUUCGUUGGAGGCCUGGAGCCCCUUCCAUGUCCAGAGUUUGGUCGUAUUGAUCACGUCCGACACUGUGAUGACGCCGGCCACUGGGCUAGUCCAGCCGUAGGCGU